AUGAACGCUGGCGGCGUGCCUAAUACAUGCCAGUCGAGCGAACAGAUGAGGAGCUUGCUCCUCUGACGUUAGCGGCGGACGGGUGAGUAACACGUGGAUAACCUACCUAUAAGACUGGGAUAACUUCGGGAAACCGGAGCUAAUACCGGAUAAUAUAUUGAACCGCAUGGUUCAAUAGUGAAAGACGGUUUUGCUGUCACUUAUAGAUGGAUCCGCGCCGCAUUAGCUAGUUGGUAAGGUAACGGCUUACCAAGGCAACGAUGCGUAGCCGACCUGAGAGGGUGAUCGGCCACACUGGAACUGAGACACGGUCCAGACUCCUACGGGAGGCAGCAGUAGGGAAUCUUCCGCAAUGGGCGAAAGCCUGACGGAGCAACGCCGCGUGAGUGAUGAAGGUCUUCGGAUCGUAAAACUCUGUUAUUAGGGAAGAACAAAUGUGUAAGUAACUAUGCACGUCUUGACGGUACUUAAUCAGAAAGCCACGGCUAACUACGUG
RNAcentral lists this ribosomal RNA (496 nucleotides) under uncultured bacterium. RNAcentral describes it as "partial 16S ribosomal RNA". It matches the Rfam family "Bacterial small subunit ribosomal RNA", at positions 29 to 507 of the family's 1533-position model. The record is from RNAcentral.